Molecule: long non-coding RNA, 1110 nt
Filed under: Junco hyemalis (dark-eyed junco)
Lineage: Eukaryota; Metazoa; Chordata; Aves; Passeriformes; Passerellidae
Description: lncRNA (ENSJHYG00000002409.1)
Source: RNAcentral
GAACAGGGAUUCCCAAUGGGAUUUGGAACGGGGAUUGGGAACCGGGAAUGGGAACAGGGAAUGGGAACAGGGAAUGGGAACAGGAUUCCCAAUGGGACUGAGACUGGGAAUGGGGAAUGGGAAUGGGGAUUGGGAACGGGGAUUCCCAGUGGGAACGGGAUUCCCGGUGGGAUUGGAAACAGGAAUGGGAACGGAGAUUCCCAAUGGGACUGGGAACGGGGAUUCCCAAUGGGAAUGGGAUUGGGAACAGGAUUCCCAACGGGAAUCAGAUUGGGAAUGGGGAUUCCCAAUGGGACUGGGAUUGGGGAAUGGGAACAUGAUUCCCAAUUGGAAUGGGAACGGGAAUUACCAGUGGGAAUGGGAUUAGGAACAAGGAUUCCCAAUGGGAAUGGAGUUGGGAAUGGGAAAGGGGAUUCCCAAUGGACUGGGAACAGGAAUGGGAACAAGGAUUCCCAAUGGGAAUGGGGAUUGGGACUGGGACAGGGAAUGGGAAUUCCCAGUGGGAUUGGAAUUGGGAACGGGAAUGGGAACAAGGAUUCCCAAUGGGAAUGGGGAUUGGGGAUUCCCAAUGGGAAUGGGGAUGGGGAAUUCCCACUGGGAAUGGGGCAUUGGGGAUUGGGGUGUCCCUUUGGGAUCGGGUCCCCCUGUCCCGGUACCUUCGUUGUGCUGUGCCCGGCGCUUCUCGUCCCGCGUGGCUCGGGGAGCCUCCGACUUCCUGGGGAGGGGCACAGGUGGGCACAGGUGUGGCCCAGGUGUGCCCAGUUGUGUCUGGGUAUAACCCAGGUGUGGCCCAGGUGUGCCCAGUUGUGUCUGGGUAUAACCCAGGUGUGCCCCAGGUGUGUCCAGCUGUGCCCCAGGUGUACCAAGGUGUGCCCCAGGUGUACCUGGGUGUGCCCCAGCCGUGUUUGGGCGUGUCCCAGGUGUAUCCUGGGUGUGUUCAGGUGUCCCCAUGCAUGCCCAGGUGUGCUCCAACAGGUCCAGAUGUGUUUUAAGUAUGUCCCAGGUGUGCCCCAGGUGUGUUUGGGUGUGACCCAGGUGUGUCAAGGUGUCUCCAUCUAUGUCCCAGAUGUACCCCAGCACAUCCAGGUGUGUUUGGGUGUGUCCCAGUGU